CGGUUAAUCUAGUGCUUCACGNAUCGGGCUGCGGAGGAUACUGCGGAGCUAGGAGAGUGGAAAAGGUAGACGGUCCUUCGGGAGGAAGGGGUAAAAAUCCUUUGAUCCUUUGAUGACCCCCCUGGGGCGAAGGCGGUCGACCCAAAUGCGCUCCGACGGGGAAGGAAUGAAAGCGGGGGGAACCAAACCGAAUUAUAUACCCCGGGUAGCCCCACCUGUAACCUAUUGCAAACCUCCGGUGAUGCGUUGGCUUGUGGCCAAUCGCAGUGCCUGCAGAGAACCCGUUAAUCUUGGCCGCCGGGGAAGUACGGUACGCAAGAAUGAAACUUAAAGGAAUUGGCGGGGGAGCACCACAGGGGGUGAAGCCCUGCGGUUCAAUUGGAGUCAACGCCCGAAAUCUUACCCGGAGAGACAGCAGAAUGAAGGUCAAGCUGAAGACUUUACCAGACAAGCUGAGAGGAGGUGCAUGGCCGUCGCCAGCUCGUGCCGUGAGAUGUCCUGUUAAGUCAGGUAACGAGCGAGAUCCCUGCCUCUAGUUGCCACCAUUACUCUCAGGAGUAGUGGGGCUAAUUAGCGGGACCGCCGCCGUUGAUGCGGAGGAAGGAAGGGGCCACGGCAGGUCAGUAUGCCCCGAAACUCUGGGGCCACACGCGGGCUGCAAUGGUAAUGACAAUUGGUUCCGAUUCCGAAAGGAGGAGGCAAUCCUCAAACCUUACCUCAGUUAUGACUGAGGGCUGCAACUCGCCCUCAUGAAUAUGGAAUCCCUAGUAACUGCGUGUCAUUAUCGCGCGGUGAAUACGUCCCUGCUCCUUGCAC
This 816-nucleotide ribosomal RNA is filed under the name uncultured archaeon. RNAcentral describes it as "bacterial SSU rRNA". It matches the Rfam family "Archaeal small subunit ribosomal RNA", at positions 543 to 1342 of the family's 1478-position model. The record is from RNAcentral.